GAUAGCGUUGACAUUCUGACAACUUGAAAUUGAGGGCAGAAUGUGUAAGAGAUCAAGGACGUGUUGGCAAUGUAAUUGAUUUUCGUUUUUCAUUGUGUUUCAACUACCGGGCUGUGAGAUUAAGUGAUUAAAUUGUUAUCAUAUUUAAGCUAAUCGCAGCUCAUCCUAAAUUUCUCUUCAGAAUAACUGAAGAUAUCCGGUUACUCAAAGAAGUUAAAAAAAAAAACACUAUUAAAUUACUUUGCCAUGGAGUCCGUAUAAGCAUCUUCUUCGAAAUAGCUGGACCGCACUCUUUACUUAUUUACUUAUGUACAUAUGUAAAUAAAGCUUGACGAUUCUUUUGUCAUAUUUAUUUAGCAG
This is a long non-coding RNA of Bactrocera oleae (olive fruit fly), 360 nucleotides long. RefSeq lists it as uncharacterized. Lineage: Eukaryota; Metazoa; Arthropoda; Insecta; Diptera; Tephritidae. The record is from RefSeq and is a predicted model, not a curated record.